GACGAACGCUGGCGGCGUGCCUAAUACAUGCAAGUCGAGCGAAGUUUUUCUGGUGCUUGCACUAGAAAAACUUAGCGGCGAACGGGUGAGUAACACGUAAAGAACCUGCCUCAUAGACUGGGACAACUAUUGGAAACGAUAGCUAAUACCGGAUAACAGUAUUUCUCGCAUGAGAGAUAUUUAAAAGUUGGUUAUGCUAACACUAUGAGAUGGCUUUGCGGUGCAUUAGCUAGUUGGUGGGGUAAAGGCCCACCAAGGCGACGAUGCAUAGCCGACCUGAGAGGGUGAUCGGCCACACUGGGACUGAGACACGGCCCAGACUCCUACGGGAGGCAGCAGUAGGGAAUCUUCCGCAAUGGGCGAAAGCCUGACGGAGCAACGCCGCGUGAGUGAAGAAGGAUUUCGGUUCGUAAAGCUCUGUUGUUAGGGGAGAAUGGAUAUGUAGUAACUAUACAUGUAAGAGACGGUACCUAACCAGAAAGCCACGGCUAACUACGUG
This 499-nucleotide ribosomal RNA is filed under the name uncultured bacterium. RNAcentral describes it as "partial 16S ribosomal RNA". It matches the Rfam family "Bacterial small subunit ribosomal RNA", at positions 28 to 507 of the family's 1533-position model. The record is from RNAcentral.